GCGGGCGCAGCUACACAUGCAAGUCGAGCGGUAGCACAGAGAGCUUGCUCUCGGGUGACGAGCGGCGGACGGGUGAGUAAUGUCUGGGAAACUGCCUGAUGGAGGGGGAUAACUACUGGAAACGGUAGCUAAUACCGCAUAAUGUCGCAAGACCAAAGUGGGGGACCUUCGGGCCUCAUGCCAUCAGAUGUGCCCAGAUGGGAUUAGCUAGUAGGUGGGGUAACGGCUCACCUAGGCGACGAUCCCUAGCUGGUCUGAGAGGAUGACCAGCCACACUGGAACUGAGACACGGUCCAGACUCCUACGGGAGGCAGCAGUGGGGAAUAUUGCACAAUGGGCGCAAGCCUGAUGCAGCCAUGCCGCGUGUGUGAAGAAGGCCUUCGGGUUGUAACGCACUUUCAGCGGGGAGGAAGGAGAUGAGGUUCAUAACCUUGUUGAUUGACGUUACUCCAAGAAGA
Molecule: ribosomal RNA, 458 nt
Filed under: Klebsiella pneumoniae
Lineage: Bacteria; Pseudomonadati; Pseudomonadota; Gammaproteobacteria; Enterobacterales; Enterobacteriaceae
Description: bacterial SSU rRNA
Rfam family: Bacterial small subunit ribosomal RNA
Source: RNAcentral